This 381-nucleotide ribosomal RNA is filed under the name uncultured marine Chaetocerotaceae. RNAcentral describes it as "SSU rRNA". It matches the Rfam family "Eukaryotic small subunit ribosomal RNA", at positions 587 to 972 of the family's 1831-position model. Lineage: Eukaryota; Bacillariophyta; Thalassiosirophyceae; Chaetocerotales; Chaetocerotaceae. The record is from RNAcentral.
AGCUCCAAUAGCGUAUAUUAAAGUUGCUGCAGUUAAAAAGCUCGUAGUUGCAUUUCCGAGGCAAGGGAUUAGUCCGACCUUUGGUGGGUAUUUAAUCCUCUUGCCUCGUCCUUGAGUGGUGCUUCUUGGUAUUAAGUUAUCGAGGAGAUAGCCGCUCAUCGUUUACUGUGAGAAAAUUAGAGUGUUCAAAGCAGGCUUAUGCCGUUGAAUAUAUUAGCAUGGAAUAAUAAGAUAGGACCUCGGUACUAUUUUGUUGGUUUGAGAACCAAGGUAAUGAUGAAUAGGGACAGUUGGGGGUAUUCGUAUUCAGUUGUCAGAGGUGAAAUUCUUAGAUUAAAGGAAGACGAACUACUGCGAAAGCAUUUAGCAGGGAUGUUUUCA